AGUGAACGCUGGCGGUAGGCCUAACACAUGCAAGUCGAACGGCAGCACAGGAGAGCUUGCUCUCUGGGUGGCGAGUGGCGGACGGGUGAGGAAUACAUCGGAAUCUACUCUGUCGUGGGGGAUAACGUAGGGAAACUUACGCUAAUACCGCAUACGACCUACGGGUGAAAGCAGGGGAUCUUCGGACCUUGCGCGAUUGAAUGAGCCGAUGUCGGAUUAGCUAGUUGGCGGGGUAAAGGCCCACCAAGGCGACGAUCCGUAGCUGGUCUGAGAGGAUGAUCAGCCACACUGGAACUGAGACACGGUCCUGACUCCUACGGGAGGCAGCAGUGGGGAAUAUUGGACAAUGGGCGCAAGCCUGAUCCAGCCAUACCGCGUGGGUGAAGAAGGCCUUCGGGUUGUAAAGCCCUUUUGUUGGGAAAGAAAUCCAGCCGGCUAAUACCUUGCAGUUUUGACGUUACCGACAGAAUAAGCACCGGCUAACUUCGUGCCAGCCGCCGCCGUAA
This 506-nucleotide ribosomal RNA is filed under the name uncultured bacterium. RNAcentral's name for it is "partial 16S ribosomal RNA". It matches the Rfam family "Bacterial small subunit ribosomal RNA", at positions 29 to 523 of the family's 1533-position model. The record is from RNAcentral.